Molecule: long non-coding RNA, 8119 nt
Organism: Ostrea edulis (European flat oyster)
Lineage: Eukaryota; Metazoa; Mollusca; Bivalvia; Ostreida; Ostreidae
Exons: 4
Source: RefSeq, a predicted model, not a curated record
UUUUUUUUUUUUUUUUUUUUUUUUACAGACAAACUUGAUCAGGUUGAUGUUUGCAGCUUAUCUUUUCUCGGUUUCUUACAGUCGGACUUUUACGAAUAGAAGAAAGGGAACGGAAAGACAAAGUUAACGUUUGCGGAACAUCUUUAAUUAGUCAUUUUCUUACCGUCACAAACUUAACGCUUACAGAACAUCUUUAUUUAGUUUCUUAGCGAUACAAACUUAACGUUUACAGAACACCUUUAGUCACUUUCUUACCGUCACAAACUUAACGCUUACAGAACAUCUUUAUUUAGUUUCUUAGCGAUACAAACUUAACGUUUACAGAACACCUUUAGUCACUUUCUUACCGACACAAACUUAACGCUUACAGAACACCUUUAGUCACUUUCUUACCGUCACAAACUUAACGCUUACAGAACAUCUUUAUUUAGUUUCUUAGCGAUACAAACUUAACGUUUACAGAACAUCUUUACUUAGUUUCUUACCGCCACAAACUUAACGUUUACAAGUAUUUUUAGAAUAUGCAUUGAAUGUGUGACGUCACCGAUAUGUUCGUUGUGCAGGGAAUUUACAUGCAUUUGAUAUAAUAUGAAAAUUCUGCUUUCUUUCUUCUCUACAGAUUUUGAUGUCAUUCCGCUCCUUGUCAUCUUGUAAGGAAUAAUAACAUCUGUUUGUUUCUUUCGGUUAUUUUUUUUUAAUUUUAGCACGACCCAACUCGGUUUUGUUGUUGUAUUAACCGUUCUGCAGGAGACACGAAUUUUCCAUUUCGGAGGUAAUUCCCUUAAAUAAUUGUUCAUGGGUUGGUUAGUUGUAUAUAUUGUUUAAUGUCCAUCUCGGAAUUUUUUCACUCAUACAUGUAUGGAGACGUCACCAUUACCGGUGAAGGGCUGCAAAAGGCCUGUAGGUCGGCGCUUACGGCCUUUGAGCACGGAGAGAUCUUUAUUGUGUCACACCUGCUGUGACCCGGGACCUCAGUUUUUUGCGGUCUCAUCCGAUCGUUUGCCCAAAGGAUGAUUAGCAUUAUUUAUCAGUUCAGCUAUGCAACCAGCCGAACUGCAGGGAAACUCAAAUUAGGAAAUAGAUGAGUAUUUGAAAAUAGAAUACCUCAAACAAAUAUCGAAAUUCGCCAUUUCUCUUUUUCAAAAGUAUUGAUCGUGUCGAAGAGGAAACAAAUAAUGAUUACACAUUUAAUUGACCAAAUUCAAACAAUUUCUUCUUGCGGUAUGAAUUUUUAAGUUUUAUAUGAUUGGUCAAAAUCAAGAAGAAAGGUAUUUGGAAUUGAAAGAAAUACUCUAUUUGUUAAAAAUUUAAUCAAUAAUUGAAAUUGGAAUUGAAAGAAAUGUGUUUGAAUUAAUUGUCGGGAUAAGGAAGUACCGCACAAAAACGAUAAAUACCCGAGGAAAUUAUUGUGGUCUGAGUUAUGUUUGAAAUGAUAGGUGUAAUUCACUGCGGAUUGCUGUAUGUUAUAAUGAAGUACAAGUAUGACCUAAAAAAAAAAAACAAUGGGGCCCUACAUAUUUUGAUUCCAAAGAUUGGUGGGCAUUUUGUCUAAAAUCAAUAUGUAUGUAGUAAAGUAAUAUUCAAUGGGAAAUGGAUUGGUACUCUUUUUCUCCUGCAUCUUGAAUUUGGAUUGUUUCCCUUCCGCCGUCUUUCUGUCCGACAGUGUAGUGUUUUGUUGUUUCCCUGUCCGACAGUGUAGUGUUUUGUUGUUUUUAAAAAAAAAGAUUUGAUACGCGGCUUUAUCAUCAAUGUAUCCAAGUUUGAAGAAAAAGGAACACGUGCGCAUAAUGAAGUCAAAUAACUUUCUAUGAUUAUUAUUUUGUCGUGACCUGUAAUUAAAUAAAUGUUGCAGAAACUAUCAUGAAUAUAUAAAUAUAUCAUAUUUCCUUGUUGUAUGUACGACCUUUUUGUGCAACACGGGGUUUUUUCCCUAUAUUUAGUGGGUGUAUUUUAAGCAUUUGGUUUUAUUGGCUGGGCUACUUUGUGUCAUGUGACUAGUCAGUCUGUUCUAAACUUUGAAUUAUUUAUAGAAAUCAUCUGUGAAAAAAAUAAUUUCAAAAAUGGGAAAAAAAACAAAACAAAAAAACCCCGGAAUUUUUUAAAAUGAUCUUUGGUCGAUAAUGAACAAUGCCACAGGUAAAUUCUGCGUGCUUGACUGACCAUUAGAAAUAAAAAUACAGUUUGAACAAACGCUAUAGGAUGAACCAUGCUAAUAUGAAUCAUCUAUCAUUUACAAGAAAACCUAUUUCUAGUCCUCAUUAUUUUGAUUUCUUCCAGAAUAGAUUUUACUGUUAUGGUAUAGACUUAUACAUAAAAGCGGGUAAUCGAAAUUUAAGUGAAAAUGGUAGCUGUCAAAUGAAACACGUUUCUCUGAUUUAUCAUGUAGCUACACAAAAGCAGACUGUUUCUGUCCGAGUUACCUGCUCAUUGUUAUUGUAUAUAUAUUAGAUAAAAAUUCUACAGCUCAUUGUUUAGGUAUACUUCGAUUUUAUCAGUCGCAUUAAGCUUUUAUAGCGAGUGGGAUGGACCGUAUUUGAGUUACUGGACUCGCUACUCGAAUGGGCGUAUUUGGACUCGCCACAUUUUGCGAUGGGUCCACUCCUUGCUUCUUAAAGUUACGCGUUCAUAGAGGAAAUGGGAAUGUCCGUGAAGAAAUUCUGAAGAUGCCGAGAUUUUCAUGAUUUUUAACACUGGAAAUGUAAGUUUAGAAUUCUCGGAACUUUCCAAAAAUACCUAUUUCCUGAGUGACGAGUUGUACGUCUACUGACUAAAUCUCCUUAAUCCAUAUUUAAUUGUUCAGUGAUUCCUUACGGAUAUGAGAUAUCAAUAGAACAUAUGUCGCCUGUGCUGAAAGUACAGCGGACUGCAUUGUAAAUCUUCUUCCUAGUUGCUUUGUUUUUCCACACGAAUCUUAUUCAUCAUGAUCACAUGUACGCGUGCAAAUAAACGUAGUGGAAAUCAUGUGAGAUAUAUGCAAUAAUGUAAAGUUAUUUCGACAAGACAUUGUAAAUGCAUGCACUGAAAAAGCCAAAUUGACUUACGAGAAAACUGAAGAUUGUAAAAUAAAUUAGAAAUACUUCCUUGGAAUGGAUAAAUCUAAAGCUACUCAGCCAAGUGCGACCCACCCAGCCCCCUCGGCUCCACCAAUGACACAGGCAGCCAAUGUUCCCCAGGCAGGGCUGCAGCCUGCUUCGGCGCCACAACCUAUGGCAGCGCCACCGGCGUAUUACGCACCACAGUCUUAUGCACCUCCAAUUCCACAACCAGUUCAAACAGUUGUGGUACCCCCGACGGCAGUGUAUGUUGAGGGACAUCAUGGAUUCGGACAUCAUGAUUAUGGACAUCUAGCAUUUGGUCAUCACAACUCUGGUCACCAUGGUUUUGGCCAUCAUGGGUUUGGUCACCACGGAUUUGGUCAUCAUGGGUUUGGACACCACGGUCAUCAUUGAAAUUAUACGUCAUUACAGCUGUGAUAAAGUUAACGUCUAUUUUUUACUUUCACUUUCUGAACUACAGCUACAAUGCUUUCGCCUUCAAUAUGUUUACCAAUGCAGGGGCGGAUCCAGGAAUAGUUAGAGGGAGCAUUACUUUAUGAGGCAGGGGGUCUGGAGGGCCGCCUUGAGGCCCCCCCCCCGUGGGUCCAGGGAAAAGCCCUGGUGGGUGCCCAGGGGGCAAACCCCAAAAGCUCCAGGAUUUUACAGAUUUUAUAAGCUUGAAAUGUGUCUCUUAUAUAGACAUUUUUACUAUUUUCUGUCAUUUUUGAUAAGGUGAAAUUAAUUGCAUGACGCAAAUUUUAAGGGAUUUUGGAAAAAUGCAAAUUCUCCUAAUAAAAGUAUUUCAAUAAAUCAAAAGAUUUUGUCAUUUAUUUCUCCGAGAGGGGAAAAAAUCAUUGCUUCUUUUAUCAUUUACAUUUUUCUAAGCAAGAGACCACGAUUUAAGUUAAAUUAUAACAUUCAAGGAGGGGGGGGGGGGGGGGGGGGGGGGGCAGCGACGCCCUCCCCUUAAACCCGCCACAGUUAAAUGUGUAUAUUGUCAUUUCCUUAUGAUUACGAUGCAGUUGUGAACAAUGUGCGUAUGAAUCUUACUAAAUAUAGCACGUCUAUUUCAACGACCGGAAAUUCCGAUAGAAUUAAUGACAGUAGAAUGUAAAAAAUCAAAAUUCAGUUUUUGAUAAUACAUGGAAGUAUGAACUGCAGCACCUCUGACGUAAAGCGUAAAAUAGUUCAUGCCCUCCUGUAUUUUCAGUUAUUAAAUUCAUUUCUUGUUCUAAAACUUUGUGAAAAUGUCGAAAGGAAACCAAACAGUAAUUUUCACCACUUUGUACGUCGUCUGAAUGCAAUUUAAAAUUAUAUAAAGGACCCCCCCCCCCCAGUUCAAAUUCCUGUGUAAUUUUCAACAAUGAGUGAAAAACGGUGAUGUGAAAUAAAUUGUUAUCACAUUGAUUCAAUUUUCAAAUUUGUCUUUCUUUAACAUUUGUAGAUAUAUUCAUCACCAAGAAUGAAAUCAAUGUUAAAGGGGCAUGGACACAAUUUGAGCUGAAAAUUUUCAUUUUUUUUCUUUCCAUUUUUAGCUAUUUCUAAUGGUCAGCAAAACUUUGAAUGUCAGUAGUCGAGGUAUAUGGGAGAUACAGAGUUCACAAUUCUUAUGUAAACAAGGUUCAUGCCGUGUUUUUGUUUACAUAGAAUAAAUAUACUAGUCAAAGUUCGUUUAAAUCGAAUUUUUCAAUUGACAAGUUAAUUCUGAACACAAUUAAAUAGUUUCUAGUGUUUAUCACAAAUCAUUUCGUUUUAAACAUGCUAUUUUCUAAUUUAUAAGCAAUCUCUAUAUAAACAAUAUUAAAGAAUUUUGAGUGUUACAUCUCACUUGUAGCUCAAAAACUGACAUUCAAAUUUUGAUAGACCAUUAAAAAUACUUUAUUUAGGAAUUGUAACCAAUAAAAUUGAAAAAAUUAAAAUUUCAGCUCAACCAUGUCCAUGCCCCUUUAAAAAGAAAAUUGAUUCGCAUUAUAUUUGUUCGCAAUCUACAUAAAAUUAGAUGUUAGAUCCGCUCGCGUACUCGCAGUUAUGUAUGCGAGUACGCGAGCGGAUCUAACAUCUAGAUCUAAUUUUAGUUGGAUUGAUUUGUUCGAAGCUUGGCAUGCUCUUUCAUGAAAUGUAUCAAUAGAAAGAUUUCAGACAUUAACUUAAUUAUAAAAUUGAGAGAAAAUCGUUCUAUUUCUUGGAAAAUUGGGUUUUGUUUAAUUAUAUUAUUCUUUUUUUAAUUAUUAUUUUGAAAGAACACUAAAAAUUCAUGAAAAGAUGGGAAGCAUGUACAACAUGGCCUGUGCCAUAGUUAAAAUACUUAGGAACCAUAACCCAAUCUGGUUUCAUCCACUUCAAUCGAUGAACAAAUGACCAAUUAGUAAUCCCUGGGUUUUUCCUAUUUCCAUUGUGGAGGAAAAAUAGGUAGGUCUACGCAGUGGUUUUCACGAAUCCAGUAAUCAAUACAGACGCACAUUCUGAUGACGAUAUGCACAUCUACGCACAGACCACAUGACCGAUGUUUACACGAGUGAACUUCAGCCAGCAGUGGAAAUAACACAGUUCUUCAGAAAAUAAGAUUUUGGUUAUUUUGAUUGGAUAAAUUUUGCCACUUGUUAAUGGGAAUGGAUUACUCAAAGCAGACAGCGUCACCUUCCACGGUUCACCCACCACCACCGAACCAAGCCUACCCCCAACAGAUGCCCCACCCAAGCGCUCCACCGCCAUACGGAACACCGGCGCCCGCACCACCUCAGCCGUACAAUACUGCAUACACACCUACCCAGGCAUAUUAUGCACCUAAUCCGUAUCAAGCACCGGCCCAGCCAUAUGGACCUUAUGGACCACCACCACCAGCACCGGUGCAACCAGUGGUGGCACCACCAGCAGUGGUGUAUGUAGAUGGGCAUGGGCAUCAUGGAUUUGGUCACCAUGGAGGUGUUGGUCAUUUGUUUGGUGGUCAUCAUGGCCAUCAUGGUGAUCAUGGGUUUGGUCACCAUGGGUUUGGUCAUCAUGGCUUUGGCCAUCAUGGGGGUCAUCAUGGGGGACAUCAUGGGCAUCAUUGAACAGAUCUUUCAUUGUACAAAAGUUUAUAUCCUAUUUUGUGCAAUAUUUAUUGCUGAUAGUCAGCAUUGAUAGAUUUGUGUUGUUGUAUAUUUACUGUUAUAUAUAUAUAUAUAUAUACUUUUGUCAGUAUGUAGAAAAUCCAUUUCUUUUUUUUUUUCUUUUUUUAUAUUUUUGAUGCUGUUAUUAAAAAUAGCCAUGGUAAUCAGUUAUGUAUAUUUAUGUUUUCAUUUUUCAUGUAUGAAAUUUCAAAUACACUUAAUAACAAAAAAGGCGAGGGAAAUGUAUCUAAUUAAUGAGAUUGAAAUCGAGAAUCUGCAGAUUUUUUCUAUACUGUGAAGGCAAUACAUGUACAAAAAAAGUAAAUUAUAUUAUUUUUCACUAAUCAUAGCGUAUUGACUCUAAUUUACUGUAAGUUAACAAAUAAAAUCAAGAAUAGCCAACCCUGCUAAGAUGAUUAGUGAUCAAUACUAUAAUUUCACGGUGAAACAAUCAGGACAAAUUGCAUUCUAAGAAGGAACUGUGAAGCUGAGAAUAUUUUUUUUUCUUUCAUGUGUUAUCAUUUCUGUUCACAAUCUUCAAUAUAAUUAGUCCCCAACAGAAACAGAAACGCGGGUAAAAGUUGAGGUUGUUGAAGAUGCUAAGUACAAGCGGAAAUACCGAUCUUUAUAUAUAGUCUGGAUAACGCCGACGUUUUUGUAUGUACGCUGACUUCCUCACAUUUACAAACGUCGGGAUGAACCAGACUAAUCUCAAUGUAAUACUGGAGGUGAGGUUCCUAACGCAGCAGUACGACUCGAGGCUGUGGAUAUGAAUGAAGUGCUAUUUAAAAUGCGAUGAAGACAUAUUCGUUUGUAGAUGAUCAUUGACAUGUUUUGAAUCAAAUACAAAAAGCGAUACAGUUGAAAUUUCAAGACCGGAUAUGACCCCGGAAAUAUAUAUAAACUAAUUGAGUUCUAUUUUCCUUUAAUUUUUAAUUGUUAUUAUUUCUUUAUAAUUGUUAUAUGAUUAUCCAUAAACGGCUGAUAUGAGAUCAUUCAGGGGACAUAUUGCUAGCGCAACAAUUAAAAAAUAAUUAUUUUUUCCAUUAAUUAUUCAUUUAUUUAUUUGGUAAGAUUCAAGAGAUCCUGCGAUGAUAUUUAUUAGAUAUUUUUAACGAAGAUGUUUAACAAUGUCGUGUUUAACGGUAGGAGUCUUGAUAUGCACAUGGACCAUGAUUUACUGAAUGAAGGCGCGGCAUGUUGUAAUACGUUGUAAUAAUGGUAUCGGUUCAAAGUGCUAUGAUGGGAGUUGAGACGACUUUUUAAAAUAUAUUUUAGUGUGAUUUCGAUAUCAUCUGGAAAUUAUCCCGUUGUGUUUUUUUCUUUUGUGUAUAAUUAUUAUGUGUUUGUUUUUUGUUUGUUAUUUAAGUUGCUUUUUUUCUCUCUCUCUCUUUGAAUAAACAGACUGGACGCGGAUGCUGCCUCACCGCAGUCAGUCUGUAAAAAUUAUACCCAAUCAAAAACAAGACAGACACAACGAAACUUCAUGCAUAUCAUUGGAACCUUUGCACACUUGUACGUGGGAGAGCUCCCGCUUUGAUCUUCUAAAUUGCUCUUGGAAUAAUACGCCCAUAAAUAAUAUAUGUGGAAAGUGAUGUAAGAUGUAAAAUAUUCUUUCAUUUAAUUUUUUUUUUGUAUCUUGUGAUAUGUUGUGAUAAGCACUUUAUGUUUGUGUCUCCAUUGAGAACAAUAAGUAGUAGUACUCUCCAAUAUUUCUAGCUCAUACACUUGUGUAUCGUUGCAAAAGAAGGCAGAUAUUCGAUAGGAUAACUUUAUAUACAUCAGGGACAUCUCCAGGCGUUCUCUUGUACUCACAAAACGUCCACAUCGAUUUGAAUUAAAAUUGAAAAAAACUAGAUAUAAAUAGGGAUUUAUCAUUGAGUUUGAUGACGACAUGACAUAUUUUUGUUUUGGGGAAAGAACGGGAUUUGUCCUUUCUUUUCUGAUUGUACAUGUUCUAAAAAAUAUCAAGGAAAUUAAACAAAACUACAUGAA